Portunus trituberculatus (swimming crab) is the source of this 1635-nucleotide RNA transcript. RefSeq lists it as uncharacterized. The transcript is spliced from 4 exons. Lineage: Eukaryota; Metazoa; Arthropoda; Malacostraca; Decapoda; Portunidae. The record is from RefSeq and is a predicted model, not a curated record.
GUGGUUGGGGCCCGGGGGCACUGGUGGGGCACACUGCCACGCCCACACUCCGACACUCUAGCGUAGGCUAAAGACGCUUUCCUGGGAUAAGUGUACUAGUGCAGUGUUGUGAGAGUGUUGCAGUGUUGACACGACACCCGACACGCCGCGACAAACACGGAAAUACUUGUUGAAAGCCAAUCAAGUCGCAUGCUACAUGUUGCCCAUGUUGCCUCGAUGGAAUCCCGCCUUCACAUACUCCCUCCAACACCCACUAAUAGAGGCUCGAGUCUCUCAAUUAAUCCAUUGCAGAGAGAGAGAGAGAGAGAGAGAGAGAGAGAGAGAGAGAGAGCCUGAUGGAAAAGCUUUGUCUGAACCUGUUUAACAUGGAAUUAUUCAAGUGUUUUGCGUUUUCAUUAGUGAAACUUACACCAUUAUGAACUUUUCCGUAUGUAUAUAUAUAUGUGUAUGUUUGUACUCGUAUGUAUGAUAGUGUCAGUGAAUAGAAUAUACUCCCUGAUAGUACUAUUCAUUAUCACUGAAUAUCCUGAAUUUUAGAAACGUAUUCGGUGUACAUAUGGGUGUGUAUAGUGUAGUAUCAGUGUAUAGUGUCAGUGUGAUUACUGUAGUGUCAGUGUCAUUGUCAGAUAAAAGAACAGCUUGCAGACACUGCCGUAAGAUCAUUGAAUGUAACCGAUUUUCUUUCUUACACUGCUUUAUAGAUGUUGAAAAAUAGUGUACAGGUGUGUGAAGGUGUGUAUAAAGUGCGUGCAGAUGUGUGAGUGUGCCAAAGUGGCAGGAUAGGCCUACACUGCCAGGGAGGGGAGAAAAAACGAGAAGUUGAGACGUGGCACCUGUCUGGAAGGCGUUAUGGCGCGCUCGCCGAUCAGCUGAUCGCUUGUUAUUGCAGUGAUGGCCCUUCCUGCCUCCCAACCUGCAACCUGCCUUAGUCUGUCUUAGGCCUUUCCCUAGCCUGGAGCACCUUGUAAUCCUGCAGGUCAAGGUCAGGUCACAACUGCCAGGCCAAAAGGUGAAAAAUGAAGCGGCUUACUAAGAAGACUGUUGAAUGGUGUGCAGGCCACCAGCAAAAAAGGCGUCCAGGAAAUGCAGGUUGUGGAAGCUCUGCAGGCUGACGCUUUCCAGAUUGCCAAGAUAACAGUCCUGCCUGCCCAGCAUGCAAGUUUCAAUUGUGUUAAGAUAUAGGGAAAGACCAAUCAAAGAGGAGGAGGAGGAGGAAAAAGAGAAAGAUAAAAAGAAGUGAAGAAAGAAUGAAUGAAGAGAAAAAAAGAAAAGAACUUUCUGGAACAGCGACCUCACUUGAGGCACACUGUGACCCGAGAGACGACGGCCCAACAACACUGAGGUCAAACAGGCUCUCUUCCUUAUGCAGGAAAGUCGAGUCAAGAGUCCCUGAAUGCUGCGAAGGAAACACACUGCUGCAGGGAACACUGCACCCACCACCAAGCCAAGCCAAACCACAACACAAACCUUCAACAACAUCUGGAGCUAUCAACAACACACAAAGUACAAGACAACACCUGCAGCAAUGAAGAACAUUUAGGUUAGGUUAGAACGCCUGAGGGUUAGAACACCUGGAGUGAUGAAGAACAGGUUAGGUAAGGCAGUUUGGCAUGUUUUUUUUUUAGGGCAUUUUUA